UACGGGGGGGGCAAGCGUUGUUCGGAAUUACUGGGCGUAAAGGGCUCGUAGGCGGCCAACUAAGUCAGACGUGAAAUCCCUCGGCUUAACCGGGGAACUGCGUCUGAUACUGGAUGGCUUGAGUUCGGGAGAGGGAUGCGGAAUUCCAGGUGUAGCGGUGAAAUGCGUAGAUAUCUGGAGGAACACCGGUGGCGAAGGCGGUUCUCUGGGCCUUACCUGACGCUGAGGAGCGAAAGCAUGGGGAGCAAACAGG
Molecule: ribosomal RNA, 253 nt
Filed under: uncultured bacterium
Lineage: Bacteria
Description: partial 16S ribosomal RNA
Rfam family: Bacterial small subunit ribosomal RNA
Source: RNAcentral